GACACUUACUAGCUAUGUGACCCUUGGCAAGUCACUUAACCCCAAUUGCCUAAAAAAAAAAAAGUUAAAUCUGCAUAAUUAACAUUUUCUUCCAUCACUUUAUGAAAUCCUGACAUUCAAUAAAACAACUAACCAAGCCUCUAUUUGUAGCUUUGCUGAUUUCUGAGAUGGAAAUGCUCGCACUGGCAAUUUCACAAUCGUCUUUCUCUGGUUCCUAGGUGGCUCCAGCAUACUUAGCUGGUAAUCAGGGUUUUUGUCAUGGAUGAAGAAGGAACAACAGCAUUGCUGUAACCAUACUCAUAACUGAGGAUAUAUGUCACAUCUACACAAGCCCUUUGGACCUGGGACCUCAAGGCAUGAUGGGAGGAGAACCUUGGUUGUGAUGUACUCUAAAAACCAUGAUGAAGAAACCAAAAUCAUGUUGGAACAGGGGAGGUAAAAAAGCCAUUCUCAUCAUCUAGUCUGUUGUAGAAGUUGUCUCAAGUAUAUUUUCCGUGAUCCCACAGAAGAUGAACUUACCAUCUCAAGAUUUUUAUUCAACUACAAAAAGCAAUCAUUUUAUCCACCUACAAUGGUCUGUCAAAAACCACACAUAAAACAACAACAGUAAGAGGGUGACAUAUUCCUGGGCCAUUUCUGUCUUUACUUCCAUGGAAUAUAAUAAAAUAAUAAUUAAUAAUAAUAGCCA
This 688-nucleotide long non-coding RNA is filed under the name Phascolarctos cinereus (koala). RNAcentral's name for it is "lncRNA (ENSPCIG00000031230.1)". The record is from RNAcentral. Lineage: Eukaryota; Metazoa; Chordata; Mammalia; Diprotodontia; Phascolarctidae.